RNAcentral lists this long non-coding RNA (1242 nucleotides) under Sus scrofa (pig). Its description in RNAcentral is "lncRNA (ENSSSCG00005013283.1)". The record is from RNAcentral. Lineage: Eukaryota; Metazoa; Chordata; Mammalia; Artiodactyla; Suidae.
CACAGCCACAGCAGUGCAGGAUCCAAGCCAUGUCUACGACCUACAUCGCAGCUCACAGCAAUGCCAGAUCCUUAACCCACGGAGCGGGGCCAGGGAUCAAACCCGCUACCUCAUGGUUCCUAGUCAGGUUCGUUUCCACUGUGCCAUGACGGGAACUCCUAAACUUAAAAACAAACAAACAAACAAAAAAAACACUCCCUUUUAAACUUUUAAAGGUUUACUAAGUUUCAAGGACUCGUGCCAGGUCAGCAAGUUUAUCCAUGGACCACCCAGGAUAAAACCAAGACAUGUCUACAAAAACCCCACAUCUCUCCACCACCACUCGGCCUCCGCGCACAGCCCUCAGACCUCACUUCAGGGCUGUAGGACCUCAGCUGUGGCCCUACAGGUGCCAUCUGACCAGCAGCACAGCCACUGCUGGGAAUGUGUGGGAAAUACAAUUUUUGGACCUGCUGCCAAUGUACCAGACCGGAGAGCCUUGGGGCCCCAGCGGUUUCUGUUUCCAAGAGCUCUCCAGAAGAGGCUGAUGCCUGCCAGAGGGUCGGAAUCAUGAGCCUAACAUUUCCAGCCUCCGGGCAAUGGGGGGACAUGGACUGUCCUGUAUCAUCACCAUGGCUACCGCAGUCACCAGGGAGAGAGAGCCUGGCGUCACUGGCAGGCACCUCCCCUGGAACGUGGGCACUGAGAUCCAUGGCAACCCUCCUGGUCGGUACGGGAUUACCCCACACCCAGUUUUCAGACAGGCAGAAUGAUGCUUGGGGUGCACUGUCUGGGACCAAAGGAAGCCAAGGAAGAGUCAGCCCACCCUUGAUGCUUGGGGUGCAGUGUUUGGGACCAAGAGAAAGCAGAGGAGGAGCCAGCCCACCCUCUUAUGCCGUAACUCCCGCUCUCAGUCCCUGUGCAAACCCACCUCUUCUGGAAGGGCUCGUAUCGGCCAACCCUGAGCCCGGAAACCUCCAUCCCCUCAACCCCCCACACCCUCAUUGUGCAAACCGAGGCUCUCGUUUUGCCUUUGUCCCUGUUUCAGGCCUUCUUGUCAGACAAGAUGCAUGCAGGAGCUACGGCAGCAGCACUGCUGUGGGGCUUUCGCUGCCUAUAAAGAGGCCUCUGACUCAGCUGAGGGAAUUCGGCGGGAUGACGACUGGGGUCUCGCCCCGAGCGAACCAUCAGCCAAAGUCUCCUCGAGGGCAAGUUUGCUCCAAGGUUUCCCUUAAGACCUGGAGCAGAAUCAACCAGACCUGA